This 253-nucleotide ribosomal RNA is filed under the name uncultured bacterium. RNAcentral describes it as "partial 16S ribosomal RNA". It matches the Rfam family "Bacterial small subunit ribosomal RNA", at positions 524 to 776 of the family's 1533-position model. The record is from RNAcentral.
UACGGAGGGUGCAAGCGUUAUCCGGAUUCACUGGGUUUAAAGGGUGCGUAGGUGGGCUAGUAAGUCAGUGGUGAAAUCUCCGGGCUUAACCCGGAAACUGCCAUUGAUACUAUUAGUCUUGAAUACCAUGGAGGUGAGCGGAAUAUGUCAUGUAGCGGUGAAAUGCUUAGAUAUGACAUAGAACACCAAUUGCGAAGGCAGCUUACUACGGAUUUAUUGACACUGAGGCACGAAAGCGUGGGGAUCAAACAGG